Long non-coding RNA from Salvator merianae (Argentine black and white tegu), 2122 nucleotides. The record is from Ensembl. NCBI's taxonomy places the organism in Eukaryota, Metazoa, Chordata, Lepidosauria, Squamata, Teiidae.
AGGGAAAAAACCGGUUUGAGCCAAGAGCAGAUUUCGGUGAAUUGGGGUCCCGUCUUGCGGGAAAGAAGCUUUGCCACCCUGGGAAUCCAGGCUGGUAGCCCCUCUGGGACUGGCUGGGCUCUCUUCUGAAGGGGAGACGUCAUGGUGCCCCCAGGCUUGCACGCAGCGCCCCAGCUGGGCCGCAACAUCUCCUGCAAGGGUGAGAGGCCUUGGGGAUGGCUGUGAGCUGCUCUGGGCUACUCAGCACACGGGCAGUCCGGCCCCGGGUUCCGGAGGGGCGCGCUGAGGGACGGCUCUGCUUCCCUGGCUUUCCCCGCGGCCGCUGCCACCUGCCUGCGAGAAGACCCGGCCUCCCUCGCCCCACCCUGCCCCGGUUCAAAAGGCUUUCUAGUGGCUGGACCCCAUGGUCGUUCCCUCCUUUCCCCAGGUGUGGCAAAUGAAGGUGGGGCCGCCGACAGCUGCAGGUGUGACAGGAAGACGGAAGUAACUCCCUGGCCGGCACGGCAAUUCCCUGAGAAACUGCAGUUCUGGGAUUUCUGUGGGCACUUUGUCCGAUUCACCUUCUUCCCGCAGAAGCCCACGCGGUUCUGCGGCUUAAAGGACACCCCCUGGGCCGUCACUCUCAUGGAGGCCUUUCCAGAGAAGAACAAAGCCGUGCUGGAGGGGAAGGAUGCGCAGAGCCGGGCUCCCAGCCCCAGCCCUUCUGCCACCCACCCAGUCUCCGAGGGACCUCAGGGGACGCCCAGGAGCAGAGCCACGGGUGAGACCCUGGGAACGCAGCUGGCGCCGGCCUUCAGCACGCCUGCGGGUCGCUUGACGGCACCAGGAGCGGGGGGGCAGAGCCCACAUCUGGAAAGAAGGCACGGAACAGCUGGAGUUGCCCCUGCAGCCAGUGAAGGUGAACCAGGUGACAGCGGCUUCCCAGAGCGGGCCAGAGCGGGGCUCUCUCAGGCGGCCUGGGUUCUCCUGCCUGCUGGCUUCUUGAUUGGGGUCGCACUUGUCUGGGUGAUGCAUCGCAGGCGGCGGUGGCGGCAGGACCAGCAGAACCCACGGCCUGCUGGNGACUGUCCCAAGGAGCCUGCUGAGGAGCUGCUUUGCCGGCCUCCGGGCGAGGAGACCUGACACAGCGCCCAGGCGCCCAUCACUUGGAGCACUUUACCCAAAGGGGCCCUGCAGGCAGAGAACGCACGGGGUCUAGCAAGGGAGGAGGGGGGCAGGCCGGCCCCCGUCCAGCUGCACUUCCUUUGGUCCUUCCAGUGCCUUUGUUUUCUGCAAAGUAAACAAGAAAUGGCUUUUUGCUCUGUGCCGUUGCCGAGUGACUCAGAGCCCUGCGUGGGAGCNGUUCCUGGCCGGGUCUGUCGCGCCCGCGUUUCUGCCCACACUUCCUCCUCUGACAUCUNGGACUUUCCCAGCGGCCGAAAGGGGAAGCGGGGAGUUGCCCUGAAGGAGGCGGCUUGGUCCUCCCACGGGGUGCCCUGCGUGGUCCAGAGCAGAGCGGGAGGCGGCUGCUGCAUUCCAGCCCCCUUUUCUCCUGCGCCAGAACGGCUGCCCUGGGCCGCGGGGUGAUCUGUGCGUUACGGGGCCCUCUCUAUUUGCAGAGCUGGGCCGGGCCAGACAAGGAGGUCUUGGGCGCAACGGAGGAGACAGGCUUGGGGAGUCACACCGUGUGGAACCNUAAACGGGGUGCCCGGGUGGAACAUGCCCUGUGCCUCNUCUUUUUAAAAAGACCUUUAAGGAAUAUUAGCUGGGAAAGCAGGAACCACCUUCCAACACAGAUUUCGCUGUUUGCCUCUUGGAAGGCGGUGGCAGCAGCGGCAUGAAGUGGUGGUCAGGGCAGUGGAGGGCGUGGUGGCUGGACCACAGCUGGGCGGAAGGCUGCAGGCCUCACAUGCCCACCCACCCAGGGUGCCUGCCUGCUUUCCCUGCCCUUGGGCUCCCUCCUGGGGCUGCUGGGUAUCCAGACCUGGUUCCCGCUUCUCCACCUGCAGCCGGAGGGUGUCCAGGUGCCCUGGGAUGCUUUUGGCUCCUGCUCCGGGNUUGUCGUGCGUGAGAGGAGGCAGCAGGAGGAGCAUGUGGUGCGCCUUGUGCAGGAUGCCGCCAGAUGCGGUUCCCUCUGGGACCC